GAGGAUGUUAGCUCAGUUGGUAGAGCGCCGCCACACCCGGCGGAGGUCAUCGGUUCGAGUCCGAUACAGCCCUCU
RNAcentral lists this transfer RNA (75 nucleotides) under Caudoviricetes sp. RNAcentral's name for it is "tRNA-OTHER". It matches the Rfam family "tRNA". From Rfam's summary of the family: Transfer RNA (tRNA) molecules are approximately 80 nucleotides in length. The record is from RNAcentral. Lineage: Duplodnaviria; Heunggongvirae; Uroviricota; Caudoviricetes.